GUCGACUUGCGCCAGCCCAGAGGCUGGGGAGGCGUCCGAGCCUCCGUCCCGCCUCGUCGUUGAAGAAGGUUAAGGACAAGCGCCAGCUCACCUGCGCUGGGGCAGGGAAGGGCAGAGUGGCCGAGCCCGGGAGGGCGCGACAGGGGCGAGGCGACCCCAGUCCAGAGGCUGACUUCCUCACCGCCCUGGGUCCCAAUCCUGAUCUGGGCUACCCUAUCUGUGCUUCUGGUGAGGUGGGCCCAGAACCAUCGUGUGAAUAAUGAUUGACCUCAGCUAGUGGUUCUCAUGGAGUGAUUGAUUUUGCUUCCCAGAGGACAUCAGCAAUGUCUGGAGACAUUUCCAGUUGUCACUACUUGAGAGGAAGCGUGAUCGGCCUCUAGAAGGGAGAGACCAGGGAUGCCGCUGCUCAAUAUCCUAUAAUGCACAGAACAGCUUCUACGACA
RNAcentral lists this long non-coding RNA (443 nucleotides) under Homo sapiens (human). RNAcentral's name for it is "non-protein coding lnc-DLGAP5-4:1". Lineage: Eukaryota; Metazoa; Chordata; Mammalia; Primates; Hominidae. The record is from RNAcentral.